This 271-nucleotide ribosomal RNA is filed under the name uncultured prokaryote. Its description in RNAcentral is "partial 16S ribosomal RNA". It matches the Rfam family "Bacterial small subunit ribosomal RNA", at positions 524 to 794 of the family's 1533-position model. The record is from RNAcentral.
UACGUAGGUGGCGAGCGUUGUCCGGAUUUACUGGGCGUAAAGGGAGCGUAGGCGGACUUUUAAGUGAGAUGUGAAAUACCCGGGCUCAACUUGGGUGCUGCAUUUCAAACUGGAAGUCUAGAGUGUAGGAGAGGAGAAUGGAAUUCCUAGUGUAGCGGUGAAAUGCGUAGAGAUUAGGAAGAACACCAGUGGCGAAGGCGAUUCUCUGGACUGUAACUGACGCUGAGGCUCGAAAGCGUGGGGAGCAAACAGGAUUAGAUACCCCCGUAGU